Molecule: ribosomal RNA, 3027 nt
Filed under: Salmonella enterica subsp. enterica serovar Heidelberg str. 41578
Lineage: Bacteria; Pseudomonadati; Pseudomonadota; Gammaproteobacteria; Enterobacterales; Enterobacteriaceae
Description: 23S ribosomal RNA
Rfam family: Bacterial large subunit ribosomal RNA
Source: RNAcentral
GGGUUGUGAGGUUAAGCGACUAAGCGUACACGGUGGAUGCCCUGGCAGUCAGAGGCGAUGAAGGACGUGCUAAUCUGCGAUAAGCGCCGGUAAGGUGAUAUGAACCGUUAUAACCGGCGAUUUCCGAAUGGGGAAACCCAGUGUGACUCGUCACACUAUCAUUAACUGAAUCCAUAGGUUAAUGAGGCGAACCGGGGGAACUGAAACAUCUAAGUACCCCGAGGAAAAGAAAUCAACCGAGAUUCCCCCAGUAGCGGCGAGCGAACGGGGAGGAGCCCAGAGCCUGAAUCAGCAUGUGUGUUAGUGGAAGCGUCUGGAAAGGCGCGCGAUACAGGGUGACAGCCCCGUACACAAAAGCGCAUGUGCUGUGAGCUCGAUGAGUAGGGCGGGACACGUGGUAUCCUGUCUGAAUAUGGGGGGACCAUCCUCCAAGGCUAAAUACUCCUGACUGACCGAUAGUGAACCAGUACCGUGAGGGAAAGGCGAAAAGAACCCCGGCGAGGGGAGUGAAAAAGAACCUGAAACCGUGUACGUACAAGCAGUGGGAGCCCCACCACUAAGCCAGUGGUGAACUCCACAUACGCAUCCUUUGCUGAGGAUACGGUUAACGGAGCGAAAGCGACGUUCAACCGCAAAAGAAGCAGAGGGGGCUUAGUGGUGGGGUGACUGCGUACCUUUUGUAUAAUGGGUCAGCGACUUAUAUUCUGUAGCAAGGUUAACCGAAUAGGGGAGCCGGAGGGAAACCGAGUCUUAAUUGGGCGUUAAGUUGCAGGGUAUAGACCCGAAACCCGGUGAUCUAGCCAUGGGCAGGUUGAAGGUUGGGUAACACUAACUGGAGGACCGAACCGACUAAUGUUGAAAAAUUAGCGGAUGACCUGUGGCUGGGGGUGAAAGGCCAAUCAAACCGGGAGAUAGCUGGUUCUCCCCGAAAGCUAUUUAGGUAGCGCCUCGUGAAUUCAUCUCCGGGGGUAGAGCACUGUUUCGGCUAGGGGGCCAUCCCGGCUUACCAACCCGAUGCAAACUGCGAAUACCGGAGAAUGUUAUCACGGGAGACACACGGCGGGUGCUAACGUCCGUCGUGAAGAGGGAAACAACCCAGACCGCCAGCUAAGGUCCCAAAGUCAUGGUUAAGUGGGAAACGAUGUGGGAAGGCCCAGACAGCCAGGAUGUUGGCUUAGAAGCAGCCAUCAUUUAAAGAAAGCGUAAUAGCUCACUGGUCGAGUCGGCCUGCGCGGAAGAUGUAACGGGGCUAAACCAUGCACCGAAGCUGCGGCAGCGACACUGUGUGUUGUUGGGUAGGGGAGCGUUCUGUAAGCCUGUGAAGGUGUGUCGUGAGGCAUGCUGGAGGUAUCAGAAGUGCGAAUGCUGACAUAAGUAACGAUAAAGCGGGUGAAAAGCCCGCUCGCCGGAAGACCAAGGGUUCCUGUCCAACGUUAAUCGGGGCAGGGUGAGUCGACCCCUAAGGCGAGGCCGAAAGGCGUAGUCGAUGGGAAACGGGUUAAUAUUCCCGUACUUGGUGUUACUGCGAAGGGGGGACGGAGAAGGCUAUGUUGGCCGGGCGACGGUUGUCCCGGUUUAAGCGUGUAGGUGUGUGUUCCAGGUAAAUCCGGUUCACUUUAACACUGAGGCGUGACGACGAGGCACUACGGUGCUGAAGCAACAAAUGCCCUGCUUCCAGGAAAAGCCUCUAAGCAUCAGGUAACAUCAAAUCGUACCCCAAACCGACACAGGUGGUCAGGUAGAGAAUACCAAGGCGCUUGAGAGAACUCGGGUGAAGGAACUAGGCAAAAUGGUGCCGUAACUUCGGGAGAAGGCACGCUGACACGUAGGUGAAGUGAUUUACUCAUGGAGCUGAAGUCAGUCGAAGAUACCAGCUGGCUGCAACUGUUUAUUAAAAACACAGCACUGUGCAAACAAGAAAGUGGACGUAUACGGUGUGUCGCCUGCCGGGUGCCGGAAGGUUAAUUGAUGGGGUCAGCGCAAGCGAAGCUCCUGAUCGAAGCCCCGGUAAACGGCGGCCGGAACUAUAACGGUCCUAAGGUAGCGAAAUUCCUUGUCGGGUAAGUUCCGACCUGCACGAAUGGCGUAAUGAUGGCCAGGCUGUCUCCACCCGAGACUCAGUGAAAUUGAACUCGCUGUGAAGAUGCAGUGUACCCGCGGCAAGACGGAAAGACCCCGUGAACCUUUACUAUAGCUUGACACUGAACAUUGAGCCUUGAUGUGUAGGAUAGGUGGGAGGCUUUGAAGUGUGGACGCCAGUCUGCAUGGAGCCGACCUUGAAAUACCACCCUUUAAUGUUUGAUGUUCUAACGUGGACCCGUUACCCGGGUUGCGGACAGUGUCUGGUGGGUAGUUUGACUGGGGCGGUCUCCUCCUAAAGAGUAACGGAGGAGCACGAAGGUUGGCUAAUCCUGGUCGGACAUCAGGAGGUUAGUGCAAUGGCAUAAGCCAGCUUGACUGCGAGCGUGACGGCGCGAGCAGGUGCGAAAGCAGGUCAUAGUGAUCCGGUGGUUCUGAAUGGAAGGGCCAUCGCUCAACGGAUAAAAGGUACUCCGGGGAUAACAGGCUGAUACCGCCCAAGAGUUCAUAUCGACGGCGGUGUUUGGCACCUCGAUGUCGGCUCAUCACAUCCUGGGGCUGAAGUAGGUCCCAAGGGUAUGGCUGUUCGCCAUUUAAAGUGGUACGCGAGCUGGGUUUAGAACGUCGUGAGACAGUUCGGUCCCUAUCUGCCGUGGGCGCUGGAGAACUGAGGGGGGCUGCUCCUAGUACGAGAGGACCGGAGUGGACGCAUCACUGGUGUUCGGGUUGUCAUGCCAAUGGCACUGCCCGGUAGCUAAAUGCGGAAGAGAUAAGUGCUGAAAGCAUCUAAGCACGAAACUUGCCCCGAGAUGAGUUCUCCCUGAGACUUAGAGUCUCCUGAAGGAACGUUGAAGACGACGACGUUGAUAGGCCGGGUGUGUAAGCGCAGCGAUGCGUUGAGCUAACCGGUACUAAUGAACCGUGAGGCUUAACCUUACAACGCCGAAG